UACGUAGGGCGCAAGCGUUGUCCGGAAUUAUUGGGCGUAAAGAGCUCGUAGGCGGUUUGUCGCGUCUGCUGUGAAAACGCGGGGCUCAACUCCGCGCCUGCAGUGGGUACGGGCAGACUAGAGUGCAGUAGGGGAGACUGGGAAUUCCUGGUGUAGCGGUGGAAUGCGCAGAUAUCAGGAGGAACACCGGUGGCGAAGGCGGGUCUCUGGGCUGUAACUGACGCUGAGGAGCGAAAGCGUGGGUAGCGAACAGG
Molecule: ribosomal RNA, 254 nt
Filed under: uncultured bacterium
Lineage: Bacteria
Description: partial 16S ribosomal RNA
Rfam family: Bacterial small subunit ribosomal RNA
Source: RNAcentral